CGUGGAGCAGGUAAGACGUGUGUGCGCGCUAAGAAGGGUGUUUGCCCACUGCCUUGUGCUGUUGCUACUGAAGGGAGAACCAAACCAGCGUAACCAAACCACCCACCCCCCAACCUGCGGCAGGAAGAGCUUUUCUUGCACUGGAAUACGCCAACUGUCUCGCUGCACCUUUCACGGAAGAAUUGGACCCUGCCUCGCACCAGCUCUGCCCUAAAGAACACAGUGUUGCCAUCCAGGGAGGAAGAGCUUUUCUUGCACUGGAAUACGCCAACUGUCUCGCUGCACCUUCACGGAAGAAUUGGACCCUGCCUCGCACCAACUCUGCCCUAAAGAACACGUGUUGCCAUCCAGGCAGAAGACAGAUUGCCAUGCUUCAUCUAACCUAACCUAACCAAUAAAUGUAGCCAAUCCCUCUUGUAAUAUUAUUCCUUCCAUCUGUGAAUGUACCCACAUAAGUGUAACGUUAUUAUUUCCUCCGUUCUGUAAUAUUAUUCCUUCCGUCUAAUGUGAAUGUACCCACAUUAAGUGUAACACUAUUAUUCCUUCCAUGUUCUGUGAGUUACCCACAUAACUGCUGUAAUGAAUCAAGGAAAUUGAUAAUAAAUCUAAGAAAUUUGA
Portunus trituberculatus (swimming crab) is the source of this 618-nucleotide long non-coding RNA. RefSeq lists it as uncharacterized. The record is from RefSeq and is a predicted model, not a curated record. The transcript is spliced from 2 exons. Lineage: Eukaryota; Metazoa; Arthropoda; Malacostraca; Decapoda; Portunidae.